AGGUGGCGAAGUAAGUUGGUAGUGAAAGCGUUCGGCUCAACCGGAUAAACAUUACCAAAACUGCUUUAGCUAGAGGAUGAGAGAGGUUAUUGGAAUUCCCUGUGUAGGAGUGAAAUCCGUAGAUAUGGGGAGGAACACCGAUGGCGUAGGCAGAUAACUGGCUCAUUCCUGACACUAAGGCACGAAAGCGUGGGGAUCAAACAGGAUUAG
Molecule: ribosomal RNA, 210 nt
Filed under: Pycnococcus provasolii
Lineage: Eukaryota; Viridiplantae; Chlorophyta; Pseudoscourfieldiophyceae; Pseudoscourfieldiales; Pycnococcaceae
Description: partial Bacterial small subunit ribosomal RNA
Rfam family: Bacterial small subunit ribosomal RNA
Source: RNAcentral